Molecule: ribosomal RNA, 493 nt
Filed under: Pseudomonas sp. CL1.89
Lineage: Bacteria; Pseudomonadati; Pseudomonadota; Gammaproteobacteria; Pseudomonadales; Pseudomonadaceae
Description: bacterial SSU rRNA
Rfam family: Bacterial small subunit ribosomal RNA
Source: RNAcentral
UUGAUCCAUGGCUCAGAUUGAACGCUGGCGGCAGGCCUAACACAUGCAAGUCGAGCGGAUGACAGGAGCUUGCUCCUGAAUUCAGCGGCGGACGGGUGAGUAAUGCCUAGGAAUCUGCCUGGUAGUGGGGGACAACGUUUCGAAAGGAACGCUAAUACCGCAUACGUCCUACGGGAGAAAGCAGGGGACCUUCGGGCCUUGCGCUAUCAGAUGAGCCUAGGUCGGAUUAGCUAGUUGGUGAGGUAAUGGCUCACCAAGGCGACGAUCCGUAACUGGUCUGAGAGGAUGAUCAGUCACACUGGAACUGAGACACGGUCCAGACUCCUACGGGAGGCAGCAGUGGGGAAUAUUGGACAAUGGGCGAAAGCCUGAUCCAGCCAUGCCGCGUGUGUGAAGAAGGUCUUCGGAUUGUAAAGCACUUUAAGUUGGGAGGAAGGGCAUUAACCUAAUACGUUAGUGUUUUGACGUUACCGACAGAAUAAGCACCGGCUAA